UUGGGACUCACUAGCACACUCCUUGCUGCUUUCGUGCUUGAUGGCUUCUGAUGAACCAAUGAUAGAGAUCCUUCCCUAACAGCUGCUGUUCAAUCCGUCCCUGAGAGUGAGAGGAGUCGUAGGAAUUCACAUUGCCUUUUACGGCUUGGAAUUCCUAUUGUAUAGAAUAAAUGUAUUGGGCAAUGGUGCUGUUCGAUCCGUCCUUGAGAGUGAGAGGAGUCGUAGGAAUUCACAUUGCCUUUUACGACUUGGAAUUCCUAUUGUAUAGAAUAACUAUUGGGCAAUGCCUUUCUUUUCUUGAAUUCCAAAAUUCUCCGCCUUUUCUCAGCUUGACACCUACUUUAGAAACAGCUUUUUCUAAGUACGACAAAGCUUCCUUGUAAACUAAGGCUAAGGCACGCUCGAUUGCAAGAAGCUAGUGACUUCUUUCAGGUCAUUAACUAGAACUUGCACGAGGUAUCACGUGGGGCCUGUCUUCUGUCAGGUUCUUGGGUCCGGUCGAGCCUCUUUGAAAUUAUAUCCCUGCCUCUCGUCUAACUCGAGUUGCCCCGCUCCUUUGGCAGUUAAAGUAGCUCGCUUCAAGAAGUAAGAUUAUAUCCCUAGGGGUAUGUUACGAGCAGAAGUUCUCUUGCUAGUGGAAGUAAGAGUAGCAAGGUUAGGACCGCAUAUAAAUAUAAUAGGGGGUUCGAAAGAAAUUAGAUUCCCUAGAAGUUUUGUCCGGUUGGGAAAGCCAGAACUCUUGUAAACCAGCUUGAUAAAGGGUAGUGGUAGGGACAGUCUCAGUACCACUGAAAGUGCGAUAGUCCUUCAA
RNAcentral lists this long non-coding RNA (811 nucleotides) under Nicotiana benthamiana. RNAcentral describes it as "long non-coding RNA (NBEN_LNC003353)". Lineage: Eukaryota; Viridiplantae; Streptophyta; Magnoliopsida; Solanales; Solanaceae. The record is from RNAcentral.